AUUGAACGCUGGCGGCAGGCCUAACACAUGCAAGUCGAACGGUAACAGGAAACAGCUUGCUGUUUCGCUGACGAGUGGCGGACGGGUGAGUAAUGUCUGGGAAACUGCCUGAUGGAGGGGGAUAACUACUGGAAACGGUAGCUAAUACCGCAUAACGUCGCAAGACCAAAGAGGGGGACCUUCGGGCCUCUUGCCAUCGGAUGUGCCCAGAUGGGAUUAGCUAGUAGGUGGGGUAACGGCUCACCUAGGCGACGAUCCCUAGCUGGUCUGAGAGGAUGACCAGCCACACUGGAACUGAGACACGGUCCAGACUCCUACGGGAGGCAGCAGUGGGGAAUAUUGCACAAUGGGCGCAAGCCUGAUGCAGCCAUGCCGCGUGUAUGAAGAAGGCCUUCGGGUUGUAAAGUACUUUCAGCGGGGAGGAAGGGAGUAAAGUUAAUACCUUUGCUCACUGACGUUACCCGCAGAAGAAGCACCGGCUAACUCCGU
Molecule: ribosomal RNA, 489 nt
Filed under: uncultured bacterium
Lineage: Bacteria
Description: partial 16S ribosomal RNA
Rfam family: Bacterial small subunit ribosomal RNA
Source: RNAcentral